CACAAUAAAAUAUCAUAAACAAAUAAAAAUGUGUACACAAAAGCGUUGAUUAUAACUACAAGUCUAUAACUACAAUUCAAUAAUCAUAAUUUUACAAGCGAAUUUUGUUUCUUCAAUUCGUUGAUCUAUAGUGAUAGGUAUCAUUGUGCAGGUAAGGAGAGAAUGCCAAACACAGUAAACCCAACUCCAUUAUCAUGUGUUAAGUAUCCAAAGCUGGCUUAGAAUUAUCCUGUAAUAAAAAGAAACAUAGAAUUUCAUCUCUUGAUAGUUAAUAUAUAAAGCCUCAAGGGCUCUAUCUGAUAGAUUUAAUAAAUAAAUAAAUAAAUAAUUUCUCCUCCACAAUUUGAGGGGUUAAAGGUAAUUAGGGAAGGUAUGGGCUUCCUUCCAGUAUAGACAGAACAAUUGCGAAAAAGGAUAAAACUUCUCUUGUUCAUCACGUUAAGUAUAAGUCCAACUAACCAAGAAGAAACCAAAUAAAAUAUAUAUCUUAUCUUUAUUUAGAAAGGGGUAAGUAACAAAAUAUAUUGUUACCCACAUAUACUUACAUAAGGAUUUUCUGCAAUCCAAUCAGGAUUGUUUUCUGAUAGAAAAGUGAUAUAUUGCUUAAUGGCCUGCUCUGGACUCAUAAUCCCAAGUUGUCGCCAUGCGAUCCUUACACAAAAAUAAUCCAAUUAACUACAUCAAAGAAUCUAAUGAAGUAAUCAUAACUCUGGGAAGACG
This 720-nucleotide long non-coding RNA is filed under the name Glycine max (soybean). RNAcentral describes it as "long non-coding RNA (GMAX_LNC002426)". The record is from RNAcentral. Lineage: Eukaryota; Viridiplantae; Streptophyta; Magnoliopsida; Fabales; Fabaceae.